Gossypium hirsutum (cotton) is the source of this 105-nucleotide non-coding RNA. The record is from Rfam. Lineage: Eukaryota; Viridiplantae; Streptophyta; Magnoliopsida; Malvales; Malvaceae.
AUCCCACGGUGAGGGCAUCUACAAAGUACCUCUUUGAAUCUUUCCAUACCUCGUAUAAGGAUUCAUCAUCCAAUUGAUGGAAAGUAGUGAUCUUUUUCUACAACU